CAUCAAAUUACCCAGCUAGGUUCAUAAAAAUUAAUAUUAGCCAAGUCUUUUAUUUGUUUAUUGAGAAGAUGUUACAUAGCUGAUGUAACAAACCGCGUUUUCACAGCAAACAAGAAGUCGUCAAAGUUCAUGAUUUUCUUUUGUUUUAUUCACUAUAUACGUUAGAUUUUGUCUGCUUCAAUUUUUAUAUAUGUACACCACUGGUCGACUCGGGAGAUAUAUAGAAGAACAACGAAAAUGAAGAAAACAACAACACAAGCUUUUCUUCUUCUAUGCUUGCUUCAUAUAUUUCUAUGUCUAUCAUUUCAGGCUCGUGUCCACGAAGGUAGACAUGAGAUAUGCGUAAGACCCUCCCCACCAUGUGGAGAUUCUCCUAAGGGAGGAAGUGAAGAUCCGGGACAUACGUAUAAAAAGCCUUGCAAACCCAUUCCAAGACCACCCCCUCCUGGAGAUUGCUAGCAGCCUAGCAACGUUGAACUUCCACGGCCUCCCCUUGAAUAAGUUAAUGUAAUUAUGUGAAUAAUUUGAGAUAUUUCUUACUCUUUACACUUUGAUCCAGCAAUAACUAACGAUGUAGAAUAUUGAGAUGGAAUAUAUUGUGUGUCGUGACUCGUUUCGAAGAUU
This is a long non-coding RNA of Camelina sativa (false flax), 624 nucleotides long. RefSeq lists it as uncharacterized. NCBI's taxonomy places the organism in Eukaryota, Viridiplantae, Streptophyta, Magnoliopsida, Brassicales, Brassicaceae. The record is from RefSeq and is a predicted model, not a curated record.